GUGGGGAAUUUUGGACAAUGGGCGCAAGCCUGAUCCAGCAAUGCCGCGUGCAGGAAGAAGGCCUUCGGGUUGUAAACUGCUUUUGUACGGAACGAAACGGUCCUGGCUAAUAUCCGGGGCUAAUGACGGUACCGUAAGAAUAAGCACCGGCUAACUACGUGCCAGCAGCCGCGGUAAUACGUAGGGUGCGGGCGUUAAUCGGAAUUACUGGGCGUAAAGCGUGCGCAGGCGGUGCUGUAAGCCAGGCGUGAAAUCCCCGGGCUCAACCUGGGAAUUGCGCUUGUGACUGCAGUGCUGGAGUGCGGCAGAGGGGGAUGGAAUUCCGCGUGUAGCAGUGAAAUGCGUAGAUAUGCGGAGGAACACCGAUGGCGAAGGCAAUCCCCUGGGCCUGCACUGACGCUCAUGCACGAAAGCGUGGGGAGCAAACAGGAUUAGAUACCCGGGUAGUCC
RNAcentral lists this ribosomal RNA (450 nucleotides) under uncultured bacterium. RNAcentral's name for it is "partial 16S ribosomal RNA". It matches the Rfam family "Bacterial small subunit ribosomal RNA", at positions 354 to 796 of the family's 1533-position model. The record is from RNAcentral.